Jatropha curcas is the source of this 634-nucleotide non-coding RNA. Lineage: Eukaryota; Viridiplantae; Streptophyta; Magnoliopsida; Malpighiales; Euphorbiaceae. The record is from RefSeq and is a predicted model, not a curated record.
AUUUUCUUUUUUUAGGAUAUUUUUAGGAUUUUCAACAGUGUGUUGUUUUUUUUUUUUUUUAAUUUUUUCCUGGUUGAAAUUUAAACUAGAUAAAAAUGUUAUACUAUGUUGCACAGAAACCGAAACGUGGAAGUGUGGAAACGUGGGGAAAAUGCGUAAAUAUGAAAAGUAUAGGGUUUUAUUUAUAAAAUACAAAAAAAUAAAUUAUUAUAAAUCAUUAAAUAUAUUCAAUAACAAGUCAAGUCCAAUCAAUAUUUAAUGAUAUCCAAAAGAAUUACAAGUUUCAUACUCAUAAAAAAUAUAUGUUUUAUGAAUCUGUAUUUAUUUAUGUAUUUAUUUUAAUUAAGAAAUAAGCUUUUGAGUUUAUGGAAACAUAUUUCGAGAGCGGAAAAGCGUUUCCAAAUUAUUCAAUUUACAGAAAUGGCCCCGAAACGUUUCCGUGCAAGAAUCAUUUCUGAAACAUAGAUGUUUUAUGUAGUAUUCUUUUUGAUUGCCCUGUCUAGGGUGUUCCUUCCUUUUCUUCCUUUUUUUUGCUCCCAUGAGAGUUCCUUUAUCCUUACGUCUGUUAGAUGUGCAAGAAAAGAAAGAGCUCUUACUUGAAAAGCAAUUAGAGCAAUCAAUCUGGAUAAGAGAA